Molecule: ribosomal RNA, 490 nt
Filed under: uncultured bacterium
Lineage: Bacteria
Description: partial 16S ribosomal RNA
Rfam family: Bacterial small subunit ribosomal RNA
Source: RNAcentral
AUUGAACGCUGGCGGCAGGCCUAACACAUGCAAGUCGAACGGUAACAGGAAGCAGCUUGCUGCUUUGCUGACGAGUGGCGGACGGGUGAGUAAUGUCUGGGAAACUGCCUGAUGGAGGGGGAUAACUACUGGAAACGGUAGCUAAUACCGCAUAACGUCGCAAGACCAAAGAGGGGGACCUUCGGGCCUCUUGCCAUCGGAUGUGCCCAGAUGGGAUUAGCUAGUAGGUGGGGUAACGGCUCACCUAGGCGACGAUCCCUAGCUGGUCUGAGAGGAUGACCAGCCACACUGGAACUGAGACACGGUCCAGACUCCUACGGGAGGCAGCAGUGGGGAAUAUUGCACGAUGGGCGCAAGCCUGAUGCAGCCAUGCCGCGUGUAUGAAGAAGGCCUUCGGGUUGUAAAGUACUUUCAGCGGGGAGGAAGGGAGUAAAGCUAAUACCUUUGCUCAUUGACGUUACCCGCAGAAGAAGCACCGGCUAACUCCGUG